Molecule: ribosomal RNA, 252 nt
Filed under: uncultured bacterium
Lineage: Bacteria
Description: partial 16S ribosomal RNA
Rfam family: Bacterial small subunit ribosomal RNA
Source: RNAcentral
UACGUAGGGGGCAAGCGUUAUCCGGAAUUAUUGGGCGUAAAGAGUACGUAGGUGGCAACCUAAGCGCAGGGUUUAAGGCAAUGGCUCAACCAUUGUUCGCCCUGCGAACUGGGAUGCUUGAGUGCAGGAGAGGAAAGCGGAAUUCCUAGUGUAGCGGUGAAAUGCGUAGAUAUUAGGAGGAACACCAGUGGCGAAGGCGGCUUUCUGGACUGUAACUGACACUGAGGUACGAAAGCAUGGGUAGCAAACAGG